GACGAACGCUGGCGGCGUACUUAACACAUGCAAGUCGAACGGAAAGGCCCUGCUUUUGUGGUGUGCUCGAGUGGCGAACGGGUGAGUAACACGUGAGUAACCUGCCCUUGACUUUGGGAUAACUUCAGGAAACUGGGGCUAAUACCGGAUAGGAGCUCCUGCUGCAUGGUGGGGGUUGGAAAGUUUCGGCGGUUGGGGAUGGACUCGCGGCUUAUCAGCUUGUUGGUGGGGUAGUGGCUUACCAAGGCCUUGACGGGUAGCCGGCCUGAGAGGGUGACCGGCCACAUUGGGACUGAGAUACGGCCCAGACUCCUACGGGAGGCAGCAGUGGGGAAUAUUGCACAAUGGGCGGAAGCCUGAUGCAGCAACGCCGCGUGCGGGAUGACGGCCUUCGGGUUGUAAACCGCUUUCGCCUGUGACGAAGCGUGAGUGACGGUAAUGGGUAAAGAAGCACCGGCUAACUACGUG
Molecule: ribosomal RNA, 468 nt
Filed under: uncultured bacterium
Lineage: Bacteria
Description: partial 16S ribosomal RNA
Rfam family: Bacterial small subunit ribosomal RNA
Source: RNAcentral